GAUGAAGAACGUAGCGAAAUGCGAUACUUGGUGUGAAUUGCAGAAUCCCGUGAACCAUCGAGUCUUUGAACGCAAGUUGCGCCCGAAGCCAUUAGGCCGAGGGCACGCCUGCCUGGGCGUCACACGUCGUUGCCCCCCCAUCUACUCCUUCGGGAUUGCGGGGGGCGGAUGAUGGCCUCCCGUGCGCCUUGUCGCGCGGUUGGCAUAAAUGCCAAGUCCUCGGCGACGCACGCCACGACAAUCGGUGGUUGCGAAACCUCGGUUGCCCGUCGUGUGCGGUCGUCGCGCAUCGAGGGCUCGAAAAAAUUGUCGGGCUCCGGCUCGGCUUUCAACGCGACCCCAGGUCAGGCGGGGUUACCCGCUGAAUUUAAGCAUAUCAAUACGGAGGA
Molecule: unclassified non-coding RNA, 389 nt
Filed under: soil metagenome
Description: partial contains 5.8S ribosomal RNA, internal transcribed spacer 2, and large subunit ribosomal RNA
Rfam family: 5.8S ribosomal RNA (bases 1-122)
Source: RNAcentral